This 1059-nucleotide ribosomal RNA is filed under the name Mycobacterium tuberculosis. Its description in RNAcentral is "bacterial SSU rRNA". It matches the Rfam family "Bacterial small subunit ribosomal RNA", at positions 36 to 1096 of the family's 1533-position model. The record is from RNAcentral. Lineage: Bacteria; Bacillati; Actinomycetota; Actinomycetes; Mycobacteriales; Mycobacteriaceae.
CUGGCGGCGUGCUUAACACAUGCAAGUCGAACGGAAAGGUCUCUUCGGAGAUACUCGAGUGGCGAACGGGUGAGUAACACGUGGGUGAUCUGCCCUGCACUUCGGGAUAAGCCUGGGAAACUGGGUCUAAUACCGGAUAGGACCACGGGAUGCAUGUCUUGUGGUGGAAAGCGCUUUAGCGGUGUGGGAUGAGCCCGCGGCCUAUCAGCUUGUUGGUGGGGUGACGGCCUACCAAGGCGACGACGGGUAGCCGGCCUGAGAGGGUGUCCGGCCACACUGGGACUGAGAUACGGCCCAGACUCCUACGGGAGGCAGCAGUGGGGAAUAUUGCACAAUGGGCGCAAGCCUGAUGCAGCGACGCCGCGUGGGGGAUGACGGCCUUCGGGUUGUAAACCUCUUUCACCAUCGACGAAGGUCCGGGUUCUCUCGGAUUGACGGUAGGUGGAGAAGAAGCACCGGCCAACUACGUGCCAGCAGCCGCGGUAAUACGUAGGGUGCGAGCGUUGUCCGGAAUUACUGGGCGUAAAGAGCUCGUAGGUGGUUUGUCGCGUUGUUCGUGAAAUCUCACGGCUUAACUGUGAGCGUGCGGGCGAUACGGGCAGACUAGAGUACUGCAGGGGAGACUGGAAUUCCUGGUGUAGCGGUGGAAUGCGCAGAUAUCAGGAGGAACACCGGUGGCGAAGGCGGGUCUCUGGGCAGUAACUGACGCUGAGGAGCGAAAGCGUGGGGAGCGAACAGGAUUAGAUACCCUGGUAGUCCACGCCGUAAACGGUGGGUACUAGGUGUGGGUUUCCUUCCUUGGGAUCCGUGCCGUAGCUAACGCAUUUAGUACCCCGCCUGGGGAGUACGGCCGCAAGGCUAAAACUCAAAGGAAUUGACGGGGGCCCGCACAAGCGGUGGAGCAUGUGGAUUAAUUCGAUGCAACGCGAAGAACCUUACCUGGGUUUGACAUGCACAUGACGCGUCUAGAGAUAGGCGUUCCCUCGUGGACUGUGUGCAGGUGGUGCAUGGCUGUCGUCAGCUCGUGUCAUGAGAUGUUGGGUUAAGUCCUGCCACGAG